AGGAACCGGAAACGAGAACAAACUUUUCCCGGUCAUUUUAUGCAGCUAAAGUUGUUUAGUAUUUUCUCUUAUUUAGACACCAACACAUUAAAGAACACGUCUACAACCUGUAAAACCAUCCCAGCGAGGAAAGUCGUGAGGUUAGCGAGCUAUUUAUGAUUAUAUGAUUAUAGCGUAACGUUAACCGGCUGGCCAGGUAUCAACAUAGCCAGUCAGUGCACUUGUUGGUGAUACGUGGAUUCAACCUGAAGAUACUUUCAUGUUUUAGAUUUCAACAUGUCCUUGAGUGCAGUCCACUCCACACUGUCUAGUCUGAAAACAUGUCAGACAGAUAUUGGAACGGGGAUGGACAUUGUGACCGACGUCGCUCUGGACGUGGCAGAAACAGCAGGAACUGAGAAUGAUGCAGUCCUGAAGAAGCUGGAGGUGAUGAUGCUGGAGUGUGCCAAACUGGACCAGGAGAUCAACUGCUUCGUUGAGGUGGUGAACUGUGUCACUGCAGAGGUGAAGUAGUGAACUACAGGGGUCAAAAUUCAUUUUCUGUCGGAUGUAUUCUGGAGAUCAGUGUGGAUCCUCAAACGGUGGUGUGUAGCCUACUGUCGCUGUUGGAUAAGGAAUUACAAUCCUCUACGUUGUCACUCAGAAUGUCACUUUCCAGUGAUACUAGUCAUGUAAUGAUGUUAUUCAACUAAACCAGACAAUAGUUGAUCUAUUUACCUAGUCAUGUUAUUAAACUAAACCAGACAAUAGUUGAUCUAUUUACCUAGUCAUGUUAUUAAACUAAACCAGACAAUAGUUGAUCU
This is an RNA transcript of Oncorhynchus tshawytscha (Chinook salmon), 803 nucleotides long. It is a transcript of the gene named E3 SUMO-protein ligase NSE2-like, with no coding region annotated. The record is from RefSeq and is a predicted model, not a curated record. The transcript is spliced from 3 exons. Lineage: Eukaryota; Metazoa; Chordata; Actinopteri; Salmoniformes; Salmonidae.